RNAcentral lists this ribosomal RNA (337 nucleotides) under Acrobeloides sp. Acro-A. RNAcentral's name for it is "SSU rRNA". It matches the Rfam family "Eukaryotic small subunit ribosomal RNA", at positions 601 to 945 of the family's 1831-position model. The record is from RNAcentral. Lineage: Eukaryota; Metazoa; Nematoda; Chromadorea; Rhabditida; Cephalobidae.
AUAGAAUUAUUGCUGCGGUUAAAAAGCUCGUAGUUGGAUCUGUGCCAUAGGACGUGGUCCACCUUCGGGUGCGUACUACGCUCCUAGGCUUUUUGCUGGUUUUCCCGUCGUAGCCUUCACUGGUUGCGGCGGGUGGCUGGCGAGUUUACUUUGAGAAAAUCAGAGUGCUCAAUACAGGCGUAUCGCUUGAAUGAUUGUGCAUGGAAUAAUAGAAAAGGAUUUCGGUCCUCUUUUAUUGGUUUUGUGGACUGAGAUAAUGGUUAACAGGGACAAACGGGGGCAUUCGUAUUACGGUGUUAGAGGUGAAAUUCUUGGAUCGCCGUAAGACGAACUACUG